AGAAUCAACGCUGGCGGCGUGCCUAACACAUGCAAGUCGAACGAGAAAGGGUAGCAAUACCUGAGUAAAGUGGCGCACGGGUGAGUAACACGUGACUAACCUACCCUGGAGUGGGGGAUAACUGAGGGAAACCUUAGCUAAUACCGCAUAACACCUACGGGUCAAAGGAGCAAUUCGCUUCAGGAGGGGGUCGCGGCCGAUUAGUUAGUUGGCGGGGUAAUGGCCCACCAAGACAGUGAUCGGUAUCCGGCCUGAGAGGGCGCACGGACACACUGGAACUGAAACACGGUCCAGACUCCUACGGGAGGCAGCAGUGGGGAAUUUUGCGCAAUGGGGGAAACCCUGACGCAGCAACGCCGCGUGGAGGAUGAAGUCCUUCGGGACGUAAACUCCUUUCGAUCGGGACGAUAAUGACGGUACCGGAAGAAGAGGCCCCGGCUAACUUCGUGCCAGCAGCCGC
Molecule: ribosomal RNA, 460 nt
Filed under: uncultured bacterium
Lineage: Bacteria
Description: SSU rRNA
Rfam family: Bacterial small subunit ribosomal RNA
Source: RNAcentral